AGGUACCUGGGCACCCAAAAUAUACCAGGUUUGGAAGAAACUGCAGCAAAGAAUGGGACUGAGUGGGUGUGGAAAAUCCUUCCUGCAGACUCACCUCACAGAAAUGGAGCUGCUGAAGCUGCUGUUGCCAUUGUGAAAAGAGCUUUCCAGAGUCUUGGUCAAGAAUUUCCACUAACAUUCAGUGAAUUUCACACAACUCUUUGUAAUGCUGCCAAUCUUGCAAAUGAGCGCCCGAUUGAUGCCAGAAUACAGAGUCGAGAGGAUUGUAUUCAGUACAUCACACCAACAGUCUUUUGCUCGGACGAGCAUCUCAGAGUGGUGAUGUGAAAAUGUUUAAUUUUUCCAGCUAUUCAUUCAAACGACUUGGAGCUAUGCAAAAUGAGGUUACUAAGUUCUGGAAAAGUUGGAGGCAGCUGGCUGGUCCCAACCUUUUUGUGAGGAGCAAGUGGCACACUUCCCAGAGAAAUGUUGCUAUUGGGGACAUUGUCUGGUUGUGUGAUCAAAAUGCACUUAGAGGACAGUUUAUGCUGGGCAGAGUUGUAAGUGCUAAUCCCGACAAGAAGGGUGUUGUGAGAGACGUAAAUGUCCAGGUUGUCCCAAGCUAUUGCACUCCUAUAACAAACCAUGUCAAGCAAAGAUCAGCUCAUCCACUAAAGACAGACACAAUUAAGACCACCAUUCUUCACAGGGAUGUUAGGAGGCUCAUCGUCUUAAUACCUGUAGAGGAACAAACGGAAAGUCAAACCAGAAAGGAAUAAAACUCCAGAUGUACCAAAUACAAUAGCAGAACUGCGAUCUUCCCAGUGGUUCAUGGAAAGAUCGAUUGGGAGGUGUGAAGUCAAAUCAGAAAAAAAAAAAAAGACAUGCGCUCACUAUGUUCCACACGGACCUAAAAGAGGGACGGACAAUGAAAGAAAAAAAGCGGAAAAGAAAGCCAAACAGAGAGGACUGGAGUUUGGGGACGCUUCAUCAGAAAUCCCGGAAUUUGUGCAGAUCUGGACAAAUCUGUAAACGAGCGGAGAGGCAGCCGGUUUUUACCUGCUUUGGACCAUUCAUGGAAUAUCAUGACACACAUUUAAUAAAUGGAGGAUAAAAAAUGAAGAAAACUGCUUGGUCCUUUGAGUAAAAUCCCUGUUAAUAAGAGUUUACAUCGUUCUGUCCAUCCCUUCUCAAGUGGGGAAGCUGCAUACAUUAGAAAAUAACUUGACACAGAAUA
Xiphophorus couchianus (Monterrey platyfish) is the source of this 1216-nucleotide long non-coding RNA. RefSeq lists it as uncharacterized. The transcript has 2 exons. Lineage: Eukaryota; Metazoa; Chordata; Actinopteri; Cyprinodontiformes; Poeciliidae. The record is from RefSeq and is a predicted model, not a curated record.